RNAcentral lists this ribosomal RNA (468 nucleotides) under uncultured bacterium. Its description in RNAcentral is "partial 16S ribosomal RNA". It matches the Rfam family "Bacterial small subunit ribosomal RNA", at positions 28 to 507 of the family's 1533-position model. The record is from RNAcentral.
GACGAACGCUGGCGGCGUGCUUAACACAUGCAAGUCGAACGAUGAUGCCAGCUUGCUGGUGGAUUAGUGGCGAACGGGUGAGUAACACGUGAGCAACCUGCCCCUGACUUCGGGAUAACCGCGGGAAACCGUGGCUAAUACCGGAUAUGACGCGCUAUCGCAUGGUGGUGUGUGGAAAGAUUUAUCGGUUGGGGAUGGGCUCGCGGCCUAUCAGCUUGUUGGUGGGGUGAUGGCCUACCAAGGCGACGACGGGUAGCCGGCCUGAGAGGGUGACCGGCCACACUGGGACUGAGACACGGCCCAGACUCCUACGGGAGGCAGCAGUGGGGAAUAUUGCACAAUGGGCGCAAGCCUGAUGCAGCGACGCCGCGUGAGGGAUGACGGCCUUCGGGUUGUAAACCUCUUUCAGUAGGGAAGAAGGCCUUCGGGUUGACGGUACCUGCAGAAGAGGCGCCGGCUAACUACGUG